GGCAGUUCUUGGGUGACACACCCAGAAUCGGACUCCCUCCUCCCUGGUUCCAGGUGUAUCAUCUGAGAACCGCC
Molecule: non-coding RNA, 74 nt
Organism: Myotis davidii
Lineage: Eukaryota; Metazoa; Chordata; Mammalia; Chiroptera; Vespertilionidae
Source: Rfam